GCCAUCAUUUAAAGAAAGCGUAAUAGCUCACUGGUCGAGUCGGCCUGCGCGGAAGAUGUAACGGGGCUAAACCAUGCACCGAAGCUGCGGCAGCAACAUUUCGAUGUUGUUGGGUAGGGGAGCGUUCUGUAAGCCUGCGAAGGUGUGCUGUGAGGCAUGCUGGAGGUAUCAGAAGUGCGAAUGCUGACAUAAGUAACGAUAAAGCGGGUGAAAAACCCGCUCGCCGGAAGACCAAGGGUUCCUGUCCAACGUUAAUCGGGGCAGGGUGAGUCGACCCCUAAGGCGAGGCCGAAAGGCGUAGUCGAUGGGAAACGGGUUAAUAUUCCCGUACUCGGUGUUACUGCGAAGGGGGGACGGAGAAGGCUAGACCGGCCGGGCGACGGUUGUCCCGGUUCAAGCGUGUAGGUGGGAAGAAUUGGUAAAUCCGUUCUUCUGUGAACACUGAGGCGUGAUAACGAGGCACUACGGUGCUGAAGUGGUUGAUGCCCUGCUUCCAGGAAAAGCCUCUAAGCAUCAGGUAACAGUGAAUCGUACCCCAAACCGACACAGGUGGUCAGGUAGAGAAUACUCAGGCGCUUGAGAGAACUCGGGUGAAGGAACUAGGCAAAAUGGUGCCGUAACUUCGGGAGAAGGCACGCUGGCAUUAGGUGAAGGGACAUGCGCCCGGAGCCGAAGCCAGUCGCAGAUACCAGCUGGCUGCAACUGUUUAAUAAAAACACAGCACUGUGCAAACACGAAAGUGGACGUAUACGGUGUGACGCCUGCCCGGUGCUGGAAGGUUAAUUGAUGGGGUUAGCGGCAACGCGAAGCUCUUGAUCGAAGCCCCAGUAAACGGCGGC
Molecule: ribosomal RNA, 839 nt
Filed under: Xenorhabdus bovienii
Lineage: Bacteria; Pseudomonadati; Pseudomonadota; Gammaproteobacteria; Enterobacterales; Morganellaceae
Description: bacterial LSU rRNA
Rfam family: Bacterial large subunit ribosomal RNA
Source: RNAcentral